Molecule: RNA transcript, 3281 nt
Organism: Cavia porcellus (domestic guinea pig)
Lineage: Eukaryota; Metazoa; Chordata; Mammalia; Rodentia; Caviidae
Gene: Mbip
Gene name: MAP3K12 binding inhibitory protein 1
Exons: 10
Source: RefSeq, a predicted model, not a curated record
UCAUCCCGAAGCGACAAAAGCGUGGUGGGGGUGCGGUUGUAAUUGUUCCUUGGUAGUGUUAGGGGCCUCUAGCGAAGGUGUCAUGGCUGCUGCCACGGAUCUGAGUUGCCCAAACAGCAAUGACAGGAGCCUAGAGCAAAGCUGCAGCCCCAACGUCUCCCGAGAGGUACUGUGUGAAAUCUUUCGCUCCCUGCACACCUUGGCUGGACAGCUUAACCUCAAAGAUGAUGUGGUGAAAAUUACAAUCGAUUGGGACAAGCUCCAGAGCCUCUCGGCAUUCCAGCCUGCACUGCUCUUUAGAGCACUUGAGCAACACAUUUUAUAUUUACAGCCUUUUUUAGCGAAACUUCAGCCUGUCAUUAAAGAGGAAAAUUCAGCUGCUAUUGAAGAGAUAGGAAAAAUAGAAGCAGGGAGCAAGAAUGAACUAAAUGCCGUAUUUCCCACUAGUGACUGGCAAGAGGAAGAAAAGCACAAAGAUUGUGAUUUAGGAGAUGUGAAAAAGACACAAAUCCAUUUUGAUCCAGAAGUAGUUCAAAUAAAGGCUGGAAAAGCAGAAAUUGACAGAAGAAUAUCCGCAUUUAUUGAAAGAAAGCAAGCUGAAAUCAAUGAAAACAACGUCAGGGAAUUUUGCAAUGUUAUUGAUUGUAAUCAAGAAAAUAGUUGUGCAAGAACUGAUGCCGUUUUUACACCUUACCCCGGAUUUAAAAGUCAUGUAAAGGUUUCUAGAGUUGUCAAUACAUAUGGACCACAGACUAGACCUGAGGGAAUUCAAGGGUCAGGUCAUAAAUCUAACAGCAUGCUUCGAGACUGUGGUAAUCAGGCUGUAGAAGAACGACUACAAAAUAUUGAGGCUCACUUGCGAUUGCAGUCAGGUGGUCCAGUGCCAAGAGACAUUUAUCAGAGAAUUAAAAAACUUGAAGAUAAAAUCCUUGAGUUGGAAGGUAUCUCUCCUGAAUAUUUUCAAUCUGUGAACUUUUCUGGAAAAAGAAGAAAAGUUCAACCACCACAGCUUUUGCUUUUAAUGGCAAGGACUAGAAGAAAAUAGGAACUUCCAUUCAUCAUUAAAAGAUUCUGAGGUGAUGCAAAGAGACAAAGGGCAGUACUCUAGAUCCUAUUGACGAAGCCUGGGAAUUAUCUUGUUCAUUCCAAGGAGCAAAAGCUGGCUGAGCCGAGUCUAUGCCUGUGUUUUGAUAUUGCAAAGCAGAAAACAAAGCCUCCUAGACCUGCACUCUAAUUAAAGGACAGAUCAUAAAUAAAGUACUUAAGUGAGAUUCAUGCAAUGUUAAAGACUGUAUAAAGAGAAAAAUAAAGUUGGGAAGAAGCUUUAAAAAAAAAAAGAAAGAAAACUAGAUAGUAAAUACUGUGGGAUCAAUCGAACCAAGGAAGUCAAAGAUGUCUACAAUAAACAUUUCAGAAAACUGAAGAAAAAAAUUGAACAGGAUUCCAGAAGAUGGCCAAAGCUCCUAUAUUCAUGGAUUGGUGGAAUUAAUAAUGUCAAAAUGGCAAUAUUACCAAAAGAACUCUAUAGAAUCAGUGCAAUCACUGUCAGAGUAUUAAUAACAAUUUUCACAGAUCUAGAAAAAAAAUUUUAAAUUUAUAUGGAAACGCAAAAGAUUCAGACUAGCCAAGCCAUCCUAAGAAAAAUAAGCAAGGAUGGAGGCAUCACAAUACCUUUCAAAUUAUACUACAAAGCCAUAAUAAUAAAAACAACAUGAUACUAGCACAAAAAUAGUCACAUGAAACAGUGGAAUAGAACAAACAACACAGAAACAAACGGACACAGCUACAAUUAUCUGUGAACAAAGAAGUCAAAAAUAUACAUCCUCUUUAACAAAUAGUUCUGGAAAAAAUGGAUGUGAGGAGAAAAGAAUCUUCCUAUACUUUUUAUGGGAGUAUAAAUUAGUGAAUCUUUAUGGAAAUCUCUUGAAUGUCUUUUAAUAAACUAAAAUUAGAGCUACCAUUUGAUCCAACACUUGGUAUAUAACCACUCCUUGGUAUAUACCCAAAGCAAUUAAAAUCAGCAUACUAUCGGGAUACCUACAUAUCCGUGUUGAUUGUGUCACAAUUCACAAGACAAAGAACCAGCUGAUAUAUAUAUAUAUAUAUAUAUAUAUAUAUAUAUAUAUAUAUUCAGCCACAAGGAAGAAUAAAAGAAAAUGGGGGAUUUAGCUCAGUGACACAAGUGCCUGCCUGGCAAGUGUGAGGUUGUGAAUUCAAUUCUACCUAUGAAGAAAGAAAGAGAGAGAGAGAGAGAGAGAGAGAGAGAGAGACAGAGAGAGAGAGAGACAGAGAGACAGAGACAGAGAACAAGAAAGAAAAGGAAAGGAAAGAGAAAAAAGAAAAGAAAAGAAAAUAGAUGGACUUGGAAACUUAUGUUUAGAGAAACAAACAACACUGAGAAAGACACAUAUUUGACACACUGUUCCCCAUAAUAUUUAGAUUUUUAAAAACAUGACAAGUAAGUAGAAGAAAAACUGUUUUUAGGCAAAAAGAAAGGAAUAAGAGAGAGGGAAGAAGGUGUAAGUGCAGAUAAUGGGGAGAUGAUACAAACAAAUGUGAAGUCAAUGUAGAGGGCAGGGCCAAGGGGUGAUGGAGGAUAAAAAUGAUCAAAAUAUAUUACAUGGAUACAUGAAUUUGCCAGUAUGAAACCCAAUUGUCUGUAUAACAGAAAAGUGGCAAAAAGCAGGUAGAGUGAUGCUUUAAAAAUCACAUCAAGACACUCUUCUAAUCGUAACUUGGUUCAGUGGCUUCCUAUGCCUUUCAGAGUAAAAGCCAGGUUCUUUGAAUGACCUACAAAAUCUGUAUGGUCUGGCAUCCAUUAUGCUGCUAACCACAUUUCCUAACUUCCCUCUCCCCACAGUAUACACCAGCCACACCUGCUUCCUUGCUGAUUCUGGGACAUACCAGGCAUACUUCAGUUUUGUGACUUUUGAACUUGCUAUUUCCUCUGCCUAGAACUCUUGCCUAGGAUAUUCCCAUGACUUUCAGUGGGGGUUUCCAUGGCUACCUUUUCAGAAAAUAACUUUCCCCUCUCUUCUCCAGGCAUUCUUUAUUCAUCUAUUUUUAGUUGUUUUUGUCACUAUCUAAUAUACUAUAGUGUAAUUCAAACACUUACUUAUUGGAAUGCCUGGUCAAACUAUACAGGGCUCUAAUUAUUGCAAGACACUUUUGUUCAUAUGUCUUAUGCAUUGCCUAUAUGGACUGAAAAUAAUCUGCUUUACCCUUAUAUGUAAAACUGUUCAUCUAUUAUUAUAAUUAAUAAAAUAUAAAUUCAUGUAAAA